GUAAGAAAAUAUUCUGAAACAUGCUUUAGACUUUUUUGUAUUUUAAUAGAGACCUGGUCCUGAAUAGAGAGCUGGUCCUGAAUAGAGAGCUGGUCCUGAAUAGAGAGCUGGUCCUGAAUAGAGAGCUGGUCCUGAAUAGAGACCUGGUCCUGAAUAGAGAGCUGGUCCUGAAUAGAGAACUGGUCCUGAAUAGAGACCUGGUCCUGAAUAGAGAGCUGGUCCUGAAUAGAGAGCUGGUCCUGAAUAGAGAGCUGGUCCUGUAUAGAGAGCUGGUCCUGUAUAGAGAGCUGGUCCUGAAUAGAGAGCUGGUCCUGAAUAGAGACCUGGUCCUGAAUAGAGAGCUGGUCCUGAAUAGAGAGCUGGUCCUGAAUAGAGAGCUGGUCCUGAAUAGAGAGCUGGUCCUGAAUAGAGAGCUGGUCCUGAAUAGAGAGCUGGUCCUGAAUAGAGAGCUGGUCCUGAAUAGAGAGCUGGUCCUGAAUAGAGAGCUGGUCCUGUAUAGAGAGCUGGUCCUGAAUAGAGAGCUGGUCCUGAAUAGAGACCUGGUCCUGAAUAGAGAACUGGUCCUGAAUAGAGAACUGGUCCUGAAUAGAGAACUGGUCCUGAAUAGAGAGCUGGUCCUGAAUAGAGAACUGGUUCUGAAUAGAGAGCUGGUCCUGAAUAGAGAGCUGGUCCUGAAUAGAGAGCUGGUCCUGAAUAGAGAGCUGGUCCUGAAUAGAGAGCUUGUCCUGAAUAGAGACCUGGUCCUGAAUAGAGAGCUGGUCCUGAAUAGAGAGCUGGUCCUGAAUAGUUCAAUAGAGAAGCCUUUUGUUUUCACCAAUCUAAACUAUCGACUGUGUGCAUAAACACACAGACACAGACAUGCUGUUAAUGAUAAAACCAUUGGCUGAUGAAAGAGCUUUUUGAUAAUGUUUAAAAUCCAUAGAACACUGUCCUCGGGGAAGAGAUGCCCGUGGCCAAGUAAUCUGUCCUGUGGUGCUGCAACGCACAAAACACACGUACACAUUUUCAGACGCACGCAUGCACAC
This 1025-nucleotide long non-coding RNA is filed under the name Salmo trutta (river trout). RNAcentral describes it as "lncRNA (ENSSTUG00000037638.1)". Lineage: Eukaryota; Metazoa; Chordata; Actinopteri; Salmoniformes; Salmonidae. The record is from RNAcentral.